Molecule: ribosomal RNA, 497 nt
Filed under: uncultured bacterium
Lineage: Bacteria
Description: partial 16S ribosomal RNA
Rfam family: Bacterial small subunit ribosomal RNA
Source: RNAcentral
GAUGAACGCUGGCGGCGUGCCUAAUAUAUGCAAGUCGAGCGAACGGACGAGAAGCUUGCUUCUCUGAUGUUAGCGGCGGACGGGUGAGUAACACGUGGAUAACCUACCUAUAAGACUGGGAUAACUUCGGGAAACCGGAGCUAAUACCGGAUAAUAUUUUGAACCGCAUGGUUCAAAAGUGAAAGACGGUCUUGGUGUCACUUAUAGAUGGAUCCGCGCUGCAUUAGCUAGUUGGUAAGGACACGGCUUACCAAGGCAACGAUGCGUAUCCGACCGGAGAGGGUGAUCGGCCACACUGGAACUGAGACACGGUCCAGACUCCUACGGGAGGCAGCAGUAGGGAAUCUUCCGCAAUGGUCGAAAGCCUUACGGAGCAACGCCGCGUCAGUGAUGAAGGUCUUCGGAUCGUAAAACUCUGUUAUUAGGGAAGAACAUAUGUGUAAGUAACUGUGCACAUCUUGACGGUACCUAAUCAGAAAGCCACGGCUAACUACGUG